ACCUGGCUGGCUCAGUCAGUAGAGCAUGUGACUCUUGAUCUUGGGGUUGUGAGUUCGAGCCCCAUGUUGGGUG
RNAcentral lists this transfer RNA (73 nucleotides) under Ursus americanus (American black bear). It matches the Rfam family "tRNA". Rfam says of the family: Transfer RNA (tRNA) molecules are approximately 80 nucleotides in length. The record is from Rfam by way of RNAcentral. Lineage: Eukaryota; Metazoa; Chordata; Mammalia; Carnivora; Ursidae. RNAcentral also lists the same sequence under 6 other names.